GAUUCGUCACACUAUCAUUAACUGAAUCCAUAGGUUAAUGAGGCGAACCGGGGGAACUGAAACAUCUAAGUACCCCGAGGAAAAGAAAUCAACCGAGAUUCCCCCAGUAGCGGCGAGCGAACGGGGAGGAGCCCAGAGCCUGAAUCAGCAUGUGUGUUAGUGGAAGCGUCUGGAAAGGCGCGCGAUACAGGGUGACAGCCCCGUACACAAAAGCGCAUGUGCUGUGAGCUCGAUGAGUAGGGCGGGACACGUGGUAUCCUGUCUGAAUAUGGGGGGACCAUCCUCCAAGGCUAAAUACUCCUGACUGACCGAUAGUGAACCAGUACCGUGAGGGAAAGGCGAAAAGAACCCCGGCGAGGGGAGUGAAAAAGAACCUGAAACCGUGUACGUACAAGCAGUGGGAGCACCCUUCGGGGUGUGACUGCGUACCUUUUGUAUAAUGGGUCAGCGACUUAUAUUCUGUAGCAAGGUUAACCGAAUAGGGGAGCCGGAGGGAAACCGAGUCUUAACCGGGCGUUAAGUUGCAGGGUAUAGACCCGAAACCCGGUGAUCUAGCCAUGGGCAGGUUGAAGGUUGGGUAACACUAACUGGAGGACCGAACCGACUAAUGUUGAAAAAUUAGCGGAUGACCUGUGGCUGGGGGUGAAAGGCCAAUCAAACCGGGAGAUAGCUGGUUCUCCCCGAAAGCUAUUUAGGUAGCGCCUCGUGAAUUCAUCUCCGGGGGUAGAGCACUGUUUCGGCUAGGGGGCCAUCCCGGCUUACCAACCCGAUGCAAACUGCGAAUACCGGAGAAUGUUAUCACGGGAGACACACGGCGGGUGCUAACGUCCGUCGUGAAGAGGGAAACAACCCAGACCGCCAGCUAAGGUCCCAAAGUCAUGGUUAAGUGGGAAACGAUGUGGGAAGGCCCAGACAGCCAGGAUGUUGGCUUAGAAGCAGCCAUCAUUUAAAGAAAGCGUAAUAGCUCACUGGUCGAGUCGGCCUGCGCGGAAGAUGUAACGGGGCUAAACCAU
Molecule: ribosomal RNA, 1013 nt
Filed under: Salmonella enterica subsp. enterica serovar Typhimurium
Lineage: Bacteria; Pseudomonadati; Pseudomonadota; Gammaproteobacteria; Enterobacterales; Enterobacteriaceae
Description: partial 23S ribosomal RNA
Rfam family: Bacterial large subunit ribosomal RNA
Source: RNAcentral